RNAcentral lists this ribosomal RNA (502 nucleotides) under uncultured bacterium. Its description in RNAcentral is "bacterial SSU rRNA". It matches the Rfam family "Bacterial small subunit ribosomal RNA", at positions 28 to 523 of the family's 1533-position model. The record is from RNAcentral.
GACGAACGCUGGCGGCGUGGAUUAGGCAUGCAAGUCGAACGGUAUCAUCCUUUCGGGGGUGAGAGAGUGGCGAACUGGUGAGUAACACGUAGGUUAUCUACCCUCAAGACGGGGACAACCCAGGGAAACUUGGGCUAAUACCGGAUGUGAGCAACUUUUAGUUGUUUGAAAGGUGGCGUAAGCUGUCGCUUGGGGAUGAGCCUGCGUCCUAUUAGUUAGUUGGUGAGGUAACGGCUCACCUAGGCAAUGAUAGGUAGGCGGCCUUAACGGGUGGUCGCCCACACUGGGAUUGAGAUACGGCCCAGACUCCUACGGGAGGCAGCAGUCGAGAAUAGUCUACAAUGGUCGGAAGACUGAUAGUGCGACGCCGCGUGAACGAUGAAUCCCUUCGGGGUUAAAGUUCUUUUAUAUGUGAGCAGUGCUUCUUAUAUUAACAGUAUGGGGAAGAGAUAUUAGCAUAUAGAAUAAGCAACGGCUAACUCCGUGCCAGCAGCCGCGGUAA